Molecule: ribosomal RNA, 460 nt
Filed under: uncultured bacterium
Lineage: Bacteria
Description: partial 16S ribosomal RNA
Rfam family: Bacterial small subunit ribosomal RNA
Source: RNAcentral
CCUACGGGUGACAGCAGUGAGGAAUAUUGGUCAAUGGACGAGAGUCUGAACCAGCCAAGUAGCGUGAAGGAUGACUGCCCUAUGGGUUGUAAACUUCUUUUAUAAAGGAAUACAACGAGGCACGUGUGCCUUUUUGCAUGUACUUUAUGAAUAAGGAUCGGCUAACUCCGUGCCAGCAGCCGCGGUAAUACGGAGGAUCCGAGCGUUAUCCGGAUUUAUUGGGGUGAAAGGGAGCGUAGAUGGGUUGGUAAGUCAGUUGUGAAAGUUUGCGGCUCAAACGUAAAAUUGCAAUUGAUACUGGCAGUCUAGAGUACAGUUGAGGUAGGCGGAAUUCGUGGUGUAGCGGUGAAAUGCUUAGAUAUCACGAAGAACCCCGAUUGCGAAGGCAGCUUACUAAACUGUGACUGACAUUGAUGCUCGAAAGUGUGGGUAUCAAACAGGAUUAGAUACCCGAGUAGUC